GAGUAAAGAUUUCGGUCGCUUUGGGAGGAGCUCGCUUACUAUCAGCUUGUUGGUAGGGUAAUGGCCUACCAAGGCUAUGACGGUUAGGGGGUGUGAGAGCAUGACCCCCAGCAUUGGCACUGAAACACUGGCCAAACACCUACGGGUGGCUGCAGUCGAGAAUCUUCCACAAUGGGGGAAACCCUGAUGGAGCGAUGCUGCGUGCGGGAUGAAGGCCUUCGGGUUGUAAACCGCUUUUGUAGGGGACGAAAUUUUUGACGGUACCCUUUCGAAUAAGAGGUUGCUAACUCUGUGCCAGCAGCAGCGGUAAUACAGAGACCUCAAGCGUUAUCCGGAUUUACUGGGCGUAAAGCGUCUGUAGGGGGUUUAUUAAGUUCCAAGUAAAAUUUCAAGGCUCAACUUUGAAUUCGCUUGGAAAACUAAUAAACUGGAGUCUAGCAGAGGUGCAUGGAACUUGUGGUGUAGGAGUGAAAUCCGUUGAUAUCACAAGGAACACCAAAGGCGAAGGCAUUGCACUGGGCUAGCACUGACCCUGAGAGACGAAAGCGUGGGGAGCCAAACGGAUUAGAUACCCGUGUAGUCCACGCCCUUAACGAUGAAUGCUAAAUGUUCGGGGAUUCGACCCCCUGGUCGUUACAGCUAACGCGUUAAGCAUUCCGCCUGGGAAGUACGUCCGCAAGGCUAAAACUCAAAGGAAUAGACGGGGAUCCGCACAAGCGGUGGAGCGUCUGGUUUAAUUCGACAGUAAGCGUGGUACCUCACCAGGGUUUGACAUCCCUUGACAGCCUUGGAAACAAGGUUUCCUUCGGGCAAGGUGACAGGUGCUGCAUGGUCGUCGUCAGUUCGUGCCGUGAGGUGUUCCGUUAAGUCGGGAAACGAACGAAACCCCUAUUGCAUGUUGCAAUUUCUCAUGCAAGACUGCCCGGAUAUACUGGGAGGAAGGUGGGGAUGACGUCAGAUCUGCAUGGUCCUUAUACCCUGGGCGACACAGGCGCUACAAUGGCAGAGACAAAGGGUUGCAAAACCGCAAGGUGAAGCUAAUCCCAAAAACUUUGUCUAAGUUCGGAUUGAAGGCUGCAAUUCGCCUUCAUGAAGCUGGAAUCGCUAGUAAUCGUGAAUCAGCCACGUCACGGUGAAUAUGUUCCCGGAUCUUGUACUCACCGCCCGUCACACCAAGAGAGUUGGUAGCUCCCGA
RNAcentral lists this ribosomal RNA (1195 nucleotides) under uncultured organism. RNAcentral describes it as "bacterial SSU rRNA". It matches the Rfam family "Bacterial small subunit ribosomal RNA", at positions 199 to 1424 of the family's 1533-position model. The record is from RNAcentral.